GCUCGGUUCGUCUAACGGUUAGGACGGGAGAUUCUCAUUCUCCAAAUAAGAGUUCGAUUCUCUUACUGAGUA
This 72-nucleotide transfer RNA is filed under the name Bacteroidales bacterium. RNAcentral describes it as "tRNA-Glu". It matches the Rfam family "tRNA". From Rfam's summary of the family: Transfer RNA (tRNA) molecules are approximately 80 nucleotides in length. Their secondary structure includes four short double-helical elements and three loops (D, anti-codon, and T loops). The record is from RNAcentral. RNAcentral also lists the same sequence under 1 other name. Lineage: Bacteria; Pseudomonadati; Bacteroidota; Bacteroidia; Bacteroidales.